RNAcentral lists this long non-coding RNA (1837 nucleotides) under Hordeum vulgare. Its description in RNAcentral is "long non-coding RNA (HVUL_LNC018244)". The record is from RNAcentral. Lineage: Eukaryota; Viridiplantae; Streptophyta; Magnoliopsida; Poales; Poaceae.
CCAAAAAAGCACCUCUUGGGUGGGUUAGAGUUUUUUGAUGGGUUAGAUGCAUCUAACCCAAUCUAACCCUACCUGUUUGGAUUUUUGGGGGUUAGAUAGCUCAACUCUAACCCAAUCUAACUCUAACCCUGAUAUCCAAACAGGGCCAUACUCGCCUUUUUCUCCCCAAGUGGGCCGGGUGAUCAUCAUUACUAUCUACAAUACCUCACUGACAAUGCAUGGCCAUGGUAUGCUUUGUCACAGUUAGUGCUGUAGCGAUCAUUCCCCUUUCAUUUCCUGCAUGCAUGCAUCUUUUUGACGUACGGCUCCCUGUGUCUGUAAAGGUAAACCGGACCUGGGCUUCACCCUAGCUGGGAAGAAUGUAAAGCUCGACUGGUUGGCAACAGAAGACAUGUGAGCAUCUAGAGAUUAAUCGGAUGCAUACUCGUGUGGCUCCCGCCCCAUGUGCACGUACGAUCGAAGUGGAGGAGAGGGAACCAAAGCUAGAAGAUCUACUCUUCUAGGAACAAAGUGCAAAAGAGGCUUGGGAGGGAGAGACAAAGCAUAUCAAAGGCAGAUAGUAAUGGAUAGCGGGAAAUUUGCUGUGAAUGAUAUGCUUGCACUUUGAUAAAGCAUGGUGUGCACCAGGAGCAUGAUAUCAAGGUGCGUACAAGUGUGCGUGCGUGGUACAGAAAGAGAUGGAUAGCGAGAUGGCUAGAUAGGCUUUAUCAAAGGUGGGUAGGACAGGAGCAUGCAAGCGAGUAGUUAGCUUGCCUGCUAGCCUAAAGGGCUCGCAUCUAUAUGCAUGUGUGCCCAUCGAUCGCUUCCUUCUGGUGCACAGCACACACGAUCCAGUUUCAAGAGUGUACUGUAUGAUGAAUCGAUCACUCUCUCUCUGCUAGCUAUAUAUCUCUUAGCUAGCUAGCUGAUAGGUUGGAAUUGAUACCUUCCUGGUCUGGAUAUCGAUCAUUGGUGCAAAUAUAUUUUCUUGGUCUGAAUAUCAUUGGUGCAAAUCUGGCUGGCUAAAGCGAAUCAGUAAAGGAAUGUUAUCAAACAACAAAAGGAAUGAUAUCAACAAAACAAAAAUUAACCUGAAAGAUCCUAGAUAUUCAUGCCCCUCAGUGCAUCCACACAAGAUCAACAUGCUCAAAGCAAGUUAAUCUGAAGAAAAUUCUAAAUUAUACCUGAUGAUCACUACAUCCAAACAAAAAUAACUAGGGGAUAGUCAAGAACUAUGAUAAUUUCAUUAGGUUAACAUCAUCAGGAAAAUUACGUACGACUAGAAUAAAAGUUGCCGAUGUGUUUAAGUUGCAAGUACUAUAUAAGACCUUGAUAAUAAGAAAUGUCUAAUUUAUUUUCAAUGCAGGAAAUUUGGUCAUAACAAAAAAGAACUAAAAUAUCAAUAUCAGCAAAAUACCAUGCUGACAAAAGAAUGUUUAUACAACAAUUGACAAAACUGCAGAUCACCAGCUCAGAAGAAAUGAGAGAGCACCUCAAAUGUGUCCACCUCCUGCUCGGACCACUACCCGCUCAUUAUUCUCUCAAACGCCAAGUAUACACGUGCACCGUAUCAGAUUCUAGUUCAAGAGCUUCUGACUGAAAUUUCCGGGUGCCUCAAGAAGGUGCAGUUAGUUUGGACUUGCUUACAUGCACGUACACAGCCUCACGACUCGUCACUUGAUUGAUUCGGCUGGAACACAACACACACAUAAGAUAUGUUUGCCUCAACCCGUUGGUUGCAUUUGUGUUGAUUGAUCAAGGGAUUUUUGUACAUUUUGUUAGCGACUCCAGUUAAUGCAAGUCUGAUGUACCUAUCUGCCUAUCUUGGUGUGGGCUAGAACAAGUGGCUUUACUAUUG